Long non-coding RNA from Saccostrea cuccullata (small rock oyster), 4682 nucleotides. RefSeq lists it as uncharacterized. The transcript has 7 exons. Lineage: Eukaryota; Metazoa; Mollusca; Bivalvia; Ostreida; Ostreidae. The record is from RefSeq and is a predicted model, not a curated record.
AAUAACAACCACCAUAAAAUCCAAUUAGCGUAAAAUGAUCUGCGUUUACACUAUGUUAUCAAUUGUUUGGUACUAGGCAUGUAUAUAGAUGAAGCAAACUGAAGGAUAUACUAUCAAAUGUGGAAAAGUUUUGUCAUCCGCAGUAGCUAAUUAGUAUUAAAAGGGAUGAUGAAUAGGAUAGCCCUGGAGAAAUUGAGCUAGAACAAAAACUUCCCAUUGAUAGUUCUCUUUGCUAAUGGCGUGAGAAGAGGGGGGGAUGCAUUAUGGUAACGUUUCAUUACCCCCAGCAACGACAUUGCCACUUAGUUACCAAGGUUUAAUAAGCUCUCAUGUUUCUUCUAUUUCAAGUAUCAUGAAAGGAGAUAUAAAAAAAGAUUAAAAACAACAAACGAUUCUUGGUAAAUACAUAAUAGAUCAUUCAGUCGUAAAAAUGUUGUGUGAUUCUCUUCUCAUGUCGAUAAAUUCAACCUUUGUAGAGUCUCUUUCUCAGAUGACUAGAAUUUUAAUGAGGCUGCCUAUUCUCUCAUUUUUUAUGAUUAUGGAGUGUUUGGUAAGUGGGGUUUAUGAUAAGCAAUACAAGCACUAUACCACGUUCUUCACAGAGAUUGUAUCUGAUACAUCGGAAUCAUUUUUUUUGUCAAUGCUGGAGAACAGAAUCCUCCUGGCAUUUGUCAGUAAAGAAACAAACCGCCUGUACCGGGGAAACAAACAAACAUGGGAGGUAAGCAAUGGUUUACACAGGGAUAAAGUAACCCCAGAGCAAAGCAAGAAAUACAGUCAUUCUGGAAACUGAGUAAUUUUCUGAAGUGUGUGAUUUAUCAAGCAGCCAUCAGUAGGCACGGUGGGAGAUUGGGGGGCAGGUGUCCAUCGGGGGAUGGAUAUACUUCUGUAAUCAUCAAUUCCACCAACUUGUCAUCAACUCACAUAGGUGUUCAAGCUUUCAAGAAUGCUAAAACAAACCUACCAAGAUAACACAAAAAGGGAUAUUGGUUUUUAUGCAUGCAUUUUUCUAUAAAACCAUCUUCUAUUUUUCCGCCUGUGAAAAAUGGUGAUCAAUCUUUGGAUUUAUAUAGUGUACCAUGUUUUCAUUGGAAUUCCGAUGUCAAUAAAUUAAAGGUGGAAAUAAUAUUCCAGGCCAGUGACGAGUAUUUCUCUCUAAUGGAAAAUGGUUUUUCGGGGAGGUGAGUAUCCAAUUUUUAUGAUAUAAAUAUUGAAUUCAAAUGAGAAUAAAAACCAGAGCCUAAUGGAUAUUACCUUGAAAAAAAAAAUUGUCGGCACCUCCAUUUGAAAAAAUCAAAAUGAAAGAAAAAAAUUUAAUGAAGAAUUGCUUUAGAAAUUUUUUGUCUGUCAAGUAUAAAUUGUCAGAAGCAAACAAGGGAUUUCCAUUGAAAGCCCAAUUGACAAUCAAUUUAUAUUAUAAUUUUUAGGAGACCGGUAUUGACAGAAGUAAUUUCAGCAAUCAUCAAAGUGGAGGAAUGGACUUGGCUUUAUUAUUUGUUGCCUCGGUUCAAACGCAUACAAGACUCUUUACAUCUGCUCUCCUGCUUACAAUAUCUAAACACUGUCAUUAUAUACAGCUUGCUAUUUCCCUCAUACUAUUCAAAAAAUAAAAAUGUGAUUAGACUGCGAACAUAAAAAAAAGUAAAAAGGCUUAAACAGUGAGAUAAAUCACAUUUUCAUAAAAAAAAGAACGCUGUUUGCUCAAUAACCAUCUUGAUAUAAAAGACCUUAUACACUUCAUAAGAAGGCAUGGGCAAUUUUGUUUCUGACAAGAAGGAAAAAAAAAUCCCUUUUUUUACGCAAAGUGUAACAAGCAUGCAAAGUUGUUAGAGUAAUGGGCACCUUUAACGUUUUCUGUUAUUAUCCUAGCAGGAAAUUAAUCAGCUAGGAUCAGCAUGCCAUCUCCACAAAGUCAUAAUGAAAUUGGAGGAAGGCUGGAAUUGUUGUGUUGGACAAAAAAAAAAUAAUUCUCUGUACGGUGUUGGGUACCAGUUCACAACAACAGCUUGUCUCCCCGAUUAUAUUGACUCUCACUAUGUUACAAUUCUGUGUUUACAUUUUCCUUGCCUUUUAUAUUUGUUAACGUGCUUCUAAUUGACAAUAUUGUGUGAUUAAAUGCAGUUACUGGUCUCUUUUUUCAGUGGGAAAAUAUACAAGUAUGGAGAUAUUAAACGACACUGUGUGUUUGAGGUAAGUGGCAUAGACCUCUCGUCAGGUAAAAAUUCUCCAUGUAAAUGACACUGUCAUAAAUUCUCUCCAAACCCCUAAUAUCAAAUUCUUAAUUCUCUCUAAAUUUUUCUUUUAAUUCUCCAAAGACAGACUGAUGUACCUAUAAAACCUAAACGUGCUUUUUUUAUUGACAAAAGCAAGUUCCAUUAAUUAACAGUUGAUGAAGAGAGGUCUAUUUACAGUAAAUGAGGGCUCUCUGUGCCAUAUCAUAUAUCUUUUGUCAUUAAAGCCGAAUGUCUUUUGACAGCCAAGCCUUUAAGUGUAGCUUGUCUUUGUACAUAAUGCCACCAUCAGAGGGCAAUUUCUUCCUUGCUUAGAUACUACACUUUAAUUAGUUGUGCUGGAUAAUUUGGAAACCAAGAUUUUAAGGGGGAGGCUUUUUGCUUUGUUUACAUCUGAAAAGACAUGAGAUUUUUUUCAAGUACAUGCAGAUAUAAUGUUUUUUCAACUCUGAAAUGUGUAAUCUGUAAUUGAAGGCGAGCAAGACAAGUUUUGUCUUCCAUGGAAAAAGGCUCUCCUUAAAGUGGCAAAAUUGAUUAGAUGCCUUUUUUUUCAUGUUAAAUUUUGACACAGAGCUCUAGCCCUGGUUAUACAGUGGCAGACAGGGUAUUUACAUUUAGAUAAACUUGUGUAAUUGCUUGUUUGUGUUUCCAGAGCCUUGUUAUGUGAUGGAUAUACCCUGUUAAAAACUCCAUUCCCACCGACCAAAAAAAAAAUUUGGCUUAAGAUCUUGUGAAGUCCUUGUCUUUUACUUAGAUGCAAUGGUCAAAGUAAACUUGUGAGAACCGACAAAAACCUUGUGUGUUUUCCAUUUACAUUUAGAUUUGGUCAACAAACUAGCCUUUGAACAGAGAAUUCCAGUGUAAUCAAAUGUUUUAUCUCUGGAUAUGAAAUUGGAAUUAUCUCCCCUGGCAGUCAGCUUUGGCUGGUCCCUAUCUUGACUAGUUCCUAGUGGAUGAGAAAGCAGGUGAAGAAAUGCAAUUUAUUUGUCAGGGAUUAUACAGGACUUCAAAAUCUCCAAUUGGUUGGCUAAUGGAUAUAACCUGUGAUGGUUUAGAUGGUCCUAAUUGCUUCUAAUGGGCUUGUGGUGUUGCUAAAGCUUACAGCAUGUGGGAAUCACACAACUAAGAGACAUGAACACACAACACCAGAGUCGAUUCAAAGAUGGAUUAAAAAUGAACAUCAGAUUAAAAUCUUAGUUUAUAUGUGACUUGGAUUGUGGGAGAGAGAGAGGAAAUUUACCAUCUGCACCUCUAGGAUAGUUAAGAGAAAACUGCUAAAUCCAUUAUGCGGCUCUGGUCAAGAGUGUUUCCUAGGCAACAGCAAUUCUGAAGAGAAAUAUGGAUGGUGCUUGGAAACCAGGGAUUACAAUAUUUCUGUUUUCACUCAGGCUCAGCCCAGAGAAACCCCAGCACGCCAAAGGAUUAAUUAUGUUCUGCUUUACUGACAAGGCUGACAUGAAUAUUUCAGCAAUUAUCCACCAAACUGAUCAGAGAAGACAAAAGCCAUAGAAGAGACAUCCAAGCCAAACGGACCCAUUCCAUGCUGACAAAACAUCCCAUCUUUUUGUGUUUUGGGGAAGGGGCCUGAAUAAGAUUCACAACUGGCAAUACUAGGUCUAGUGAGUGGCUCAUUAAGUUUAUUGGCGUGAAGAAGGCUUGAUUUCAAUUCAUCAAGAUCCCUGAGCAGGCUUUCAUCAAAUUUACCAUGAAAUUUAAUGAAAAAAUGCAUUCCUUUGAGAGAGCAAUGCGAUACUCUACAUUUUGGAUUAUGUGAACAAGAAAUCAUCUAUAAUCAUACACCCUUGUCAAAGGCGAAACCACUAGAUGUUAUCUACACAAGCAGUGAGAAGAAACACCAUUUCAGAAGUGUACGAUUUCGGGAAAAUGUGUGAUAUAUUUUGGAAUUAAGCAAAGAGUGAUUAUGCAAUGGAAAUAAAGUUUAAACAUGAGGAGGAUUUUAAACCAUGAGAGUACAAAAAAGACUUAAUCGUUCUCAACAGCAUUCAAUUACUGGAGCUAAAAGAGAUGACUUCACAGACUUGUGAUCACAAAUCAAAAGGAAUUCAGGCCACUUUCCUGAUACGAGGAAAAAACCCUGGUGGCAUUGGCCCCCCAGGAAUUCCAUCCUGAGGAUUCAUUUGACCUAAUGGACUAGGUGCUGCUGCAUUCUGGAAAGAAACAAAGAAGAAAUAAAUGAUCAGAACAGGCAAAUAAUUUCUCAAUGAAUUUUGACAAUAAUUGCAAAUUUAUCUAAUUCCACAUGCCUCAUGUUCCACAUUUGGAUAAGACAGAACCGAAAUGUCCUUGUUCUUUUUUUCAAAGUAUAUAUGCAAUGUAUUUUUUUUUUGAAGGAUAUAUGCAAUGUAUAUAAAGACCUAGGUAAAGAAACUGUGAAUAAGGGCAGACUUCCAUAGUUUUUGACAAAUUAUGAAAUUAAAAGUACUUUUCAUA